Small nuclear RNA from Vulpes vulpes (red fox), 91 nucleotides. Lineage: Eukaryota; Metazoa; Chordata; Mammalia; Carnivora; Canidae. The record is from Ensembl.
AUGCUCACUUUGGCAGCACAUAUACUAAAAUUGGAACCAUACGGAGAUAACAUGGCCCCCACUGCAAUUUCAUGAAGUAUUGCACAUUUUU